This is an RNA transcript of Magnolia sinica, 842 nucleotides long. It is a transcript of the gene named LRR receptor-like serine/threonine-protein kinase SIK1, with no coding region annotated. The transcript has 4 exons. The record is from RefSeq and is a predicted model, not a curated record. Lineage: Eukaryota; Viridiplantae; Streptophyta; Magnoliopsida; Magnoliales; Magnoliaceae.
GCGAGAGACUCGCUAUCGAUAGGUUUUUACCCGAACAAAACUAGAAAAACGAAAAGAAGAAAAGAAAAAGGAGAGAGAGAGAGAGGGAGGGAGAGAUUGCAGCAAGAAAAAGAAAGGAAGAUGAAAAAAAUGUAAAAAUGGAAGAUCUGAUCUUCAAUCGAUCUCGACAUCGCCAGGGAUUUUCUUCAUCAUUGGUCAUGGUGUUUCCUGUUUAUUCUUCCCAGGUACCUACACAGUACAAGCUCACUGGGCCAAUUCCACCUGAAUUGGGGAACAUGUCCAAGCUAAGCUAUCUGUGAGGUCAAUUGAACAACAAUGAACUGGUUGGUAGCAUUCCGGCCGAGCUUGGACAGCUGGAGUUGUUUGAAUUGUGCAUGGCAAAGAUCGAAUGGUUCCAUUCCAUCUGAAUUCCUGAAGCUAGAGAGUAACAUAUCUGCCUUUGCUCAACUAUUGCAAGCUCCUCAUGAUUAUGCUGAAAUUAUCAUAACAGAUCGUUUCCCUGUCCCCAUAUUGGUAAUUUGUGAUCAGCAUGGUUCCCAGGUUUGUAAAUGUCUUUUGGUUUCAACCUGUGAAAUAGACCACUCUACUUUUAAUUCCUUAAUAUAAUUUCCAUGAAGGUGGGUAUUCUCACUUCUGGAUUACUCAUGAUUCACCCUUCAGUUCCUGCAAAAAGGCCAAUUGCUGUCAAGGAUGAGAUAGAUUGCAUGCCCUAUCCAACUACAGGUGAUCUCCUUUUUGCUCUGAUUUUAGCAGCCAUUUUUUUAAAAAUCUUUGGUUGACUAAUCAUUGUCUUUUUGUACCUCUAUUUGGAAACCUGAAAAAUCUCUAGUCGAUUCGAUCAG